GAGUUUGAUCAUGGCUCAGAACGAACGCUGGCGGCAUGCCUAACACAUGCAAGUCGAACGAAGUCUUCGGACUUAGUGGCGCACGGGUGAGUAACGCGUGGGAAACUGCCUAUUGGUGGGGAAUAACGACGGGAAACUGUCGCUAAUACCGCAUAAGCCCUUCGGGGGAAAGAUUUAUCGCCGAUAGAUGUGCCCGCGUCCGAUUAGCUAGUUGGUGAGGUAAUGGCUCACCAAGGCUACGAUCGGUAGCUGGUCUGAGAGGAUGAUCAGCCACACUGGGACUGAGACACGGCCCAGACUCCUACGGGAGGCAGCAGUGGGGAAUAUUGGACAAUGGGCGAAAGCCUGAUCCAGCAAUGCCGCGUGAGUGAUGAAGGCCUUAGGGUUGUAAAGCUCUUUCGGGUGGGACGAUGAUGACGGUACCACCAGAAGAAGCCCCGGCUAACUUCGUGCCAGCAGCCGCGGUAAUACG
Molecule: ribosomal RNA, 472 nt
Filed under: uncultured eubacterium WR156
Lineage: Bacteria
Description: bacterial SSU rRNA
Rfam family: Bacterial small subunit ribosomal RNA
Source: RNAcentral